Molecule: ribosomal RNA, 509 nt
Filed under: uncultured Candidatus Poseidoniales archaeon
Lineage: Archaea; Methanobacteriati; Thermoplasmatota; Candidatus Poseidoniia; Candidatus Poseidoniales
Description: bacterial SSU rRNA
Rfam family: Archaeal small subunit ribosomal RNA
Source: RNAcentral
AUCUGGUUGAUCCUGCCAGGGGCGACCGCUAUUGGAGUUCGAUUAAGCCAUGCGAGUCGAGAGUCUUAGGGACUCGGCAUACUGCUCAGUAACACGUGGAUAACCUGCCCUGUGCUGGAGGAUAACCUCGGGAAACUGAGAAUAAUACUCCAUAGACCACUAUGCCUGGAAUGGUUUGUGGUUCAAAGCUCCGGCGGCACAGGAUGGGUCCGCGGCGUAUCAGGUUGUAGGGGGUGUAAAGGACCCUCUAGCCAUUGACGCGUACGGGUUGUGGGAGCAAUCGCCCGGAGAUGGAUUCUGAGACACGAAUCCAGACCCUACGGGGUGCAGCAGGCGCGGAAACUUCACACUGCGGGAAACCGUGAUGAGGGAACUCCAAGUGUUUGCACUAUGUGCAAUCUUUUCUUGACUUUUAAUAGGUCUUGGUAAUAAGGGGUGGGAAAGACCGGUGCCAGCCGCCGCGGUAAUACCGGCACCCCAAGUGGUCGUCGCUUUUAUUGGGCCUAAAA